This 1872-nucleotide long non-coding RNA is filed under the name Setaria italica (foxtail millet). Its description in RNAcentral is "long non-coding RNA (SITA_LNC000800)". The record is from RNAcentral. Lineage: Eukaryota; Viridiplantae; Streptophyta; Magnoliopsida; Poales; Poaceae.
GUUUAGUUGUUCACCAGCUGACCUACUGCUAUGACAGAGAUAGAGGGGUUGGUGAGCAUGAUUAACAAAAUGUUGUUAAUAAAGGACGCCGACCUGCCAGUUUUGCGUGCUUUGGGCGCUACCUCCAUCGGCAUCCACACCUGCAUGCGAGUUGCGACCACCUUUUGCUCCUUGCUUUUCCAAGAACACAUUUUCUUUGGAUUUAUUUCCUUUUUUUCAAAGGUCCACUACAUCACCACCAUUGGCUGAGUUAGUACGUUACAUAAUUGUCAACUGAGACAUCACCAUGCUUUUGACAGAUGUUUUGACAGGUUGAACGAAAGCGAGCACCCCGUGCCGCCGACGACGGCGAGCUCCCUCACGUCCGCCGCGAUGUCGUCGCGGCCCAUCACCGCGACGGUGCUGCCGUUGUAGCCCCCCGCCGUCAGCAGCAGGUUGGCGCACACCGUCAGCACGGCGCCCCCCGACUGCGACGUCAUCAUGUAGAAGCCCUGCACGCGGCCGACGGCGGCGGAGGAGGACGAGGGAUCCUCGGUGAGGGCAUCGUCGGUGACGGUCGUGUCCCCGAACGCCAGGCCCGGGACGGCGGAGGGGCCCUUGAUCACCUGCACCGCUGUCGGGUUGCUUCCCGUCAGGAUGUCGUGCAUGAACAAGUGCAGGUGCGUGGUGGUGCCGCCGUCAGCCGCCAGGACGGCCGCCGGCGACGACAUCGGAGCGAGGAGGAAGAGGAGGACGGCGGCAGCGAGGGAGGGAGCCAUAGGUGCUCUGCCUUGAUGAAUGGAUGCAACAUUACUGGCAGCUAGAAGGUGAUGGUCAGGUUUUUGUAAAGUCGAUCGAGCGAUGAGACGAGAUGACGAAUUGACGAUAGUAGUAGAUCCAUUUCGAGAGGUCACGAUCCAUUUUAGGUGAAAAAGGAACGCAUCGUAUCUGUCUAUUAGUAAAACAUUCCAUGAUUCGGCUUUGCCAAGUCCAAGUCCGAUCCUGGCUUCAGCAUCAGGACACAGCCAUUCGCCUUCGUUUUCGCCUGGUCUUCUGGUCGGUUCUUCCAAACGAAACGCUACAGUGUGCUACAGUGCUGUAACAGUAAUUUGACACCUCCAAACUUUGGCAACUAAACAAGACCUAAACAUGAGAGAAAAACACAUGCAUGCAUAACAGGUCAUGCCACACGUCACGUCGUUAAUUAAUGAUAACCACCUUUUUCAGUGGACUGUGGGCAUGCGACAGCUCCAGGCUGUGAGAUUCAAAGGUCAGCAAAGAGAACGGGGGAGGUGGUGGUGGUGUUGUGCCUGUCAUGUCACGGUGCUCAUGGUUACUGCAAUACUGCUGCUACACCAGUUGCUCCUCCAAUGGCUAUAUUGUCAGUUUGUCACGUCCUGGGUGUCGAUUUCUCGUUGCACGAAGCAGAGACUGCUAUCCCAAGGACAUUAUCAGCAGACCCAAAGGACAGCGGCUGUAACCAAUAAUUUCUUAUGCUCACGCUUAUCUCGAGUCUUUACCUACUGCUAUGACAGAGAUAGAGGGGUUGUUGAGCAUGAUUAACAAAAUGUUGUUAAUAAAGGACGCCGACCUGCCAGUUUUGCGUGCUUUGGGCGCUACCUCCAUCGGCAUCCACACAUGCAUGCGAGUUGCGACCACCUUUUGCUCCUUGCUUUUCCAAGAACACAUUUUCUUUGGAUUUAUUUCCUUUUUUUCAGAGGUCCACUACAUCACCACCAUUGGCUGAGUUAGUACGUUACAUAAUUGUCAACUGAGACAUCACCAUGCUUUUGACAGAUGUUUUGACAGGUUGAACGAAAGCGAGCAAGCCCAUGCCCAGGCGUCAGAAGAAUAAGCAUAUGAGCAUCACAUCCCAACCAACGGACAACAAAC